GGUUAAGCGAAUAAGCGUACACGGUGGAUGCCUAGGCAAUCAGAGGCGAUGAAGGACGUGCUAAUCUGCGAUAAGCGUCGGUAAGGUGAUAUGAACCGUUAUACCCGACGAUUUCCGAAUGGGGAAACCCAAUAUCCAAUGGAUAUUAUCAUGACGUGAAUACAUAGCGUCAUGAAGCGAACCGGGAGAACUGAAACAUCUCAGUACCCCGAGGAAAAGAAAUCAACCGAGAUUCCCCUAGUAGCGGCGAGCGAACGGGGAACAGCCCAGAGUCUUAAUCAAU
This 283-nucleotide ribosomal RNA is filed under the name Proteus mirabilis. RNAcentral's name for it is "partial 23S ribosomal RNA". It matches the Rfam family "Bacterial large subunit ribosomal RNA", at positions 1 to 285 of the family's 2925-position model. The record is from RNAcentral. Lineage: Bacteria; Pseudomonadati; Pseudomonadota; Gammaproteobacteria; Enterobacterales; Morganellaceae.